GUGGGGAAUUUUGCACAAUGGGGGAAACCCUGAUGCAGCGACGCCGCGUGAUUUAGAAGGCCUUCGGGUUGUAAAAAUCUUUUGUAUAGGAAGAAAAUGACAGUACUAUACGAAUAAGGUCCGGCUAAUUACGUGCCAGCAGCCGCGGUAAUACGUAAGGACCGAGCGUUGUCCGGAAUCAUUGGGCGUAAAGGGUACGUAGGCGGGUCAUUAAGUUAGAAGUCAAAGGCUAUAGCUCAACUAUAGUAAGCUUCUAAAACUGGAGACCUUGAGUAAUGGAAGGGAAAGUGGAAUUCCUAGUGUAGCGGUGGAAUGCGCAGAUAUUAGGAGGAAUACCGGUGGCGAAGGCGACUUUCUGGCCAUUAACUGACGCUGAGGUACGAAAGCGUGGGUAGCAAACAGGAUUAGAAACCCUAGUAGUCC
Molecule: ribosomal RNA, 423 nt
Filed under: uncultured bacterium
Lineage: Bacteria
Description: bacterial SSU rRNA
Rfam family: Bacterial small subunit ribosomal RNA
Source: RNAcentral